Molecule: ribosomal RNA, 1074 nt
Filed under: uncultured bacterium
Lineage: Bacteria
Description: bacterial SSU rRNA
Rfam family: Bacterial small subunit ribosomal RNA
Source: RNAcentral
GGGGUAUGCUACAGCGUCGACGGUANCGCUGAGAGGUGACGCACAUUGGACUGAGACACGGCCCAACUCUACGGAGGCAGCAGUGGGAAUAUGCACAAUGGCGCAAGCUGAUGCAGCGACGCCGCGUGGGGGAUGACGGCNUUCGGGUUGUAAACUCCUUUCAACCAUGACGAAGCUAUUUGUGACGGUAGUGGUAGAAGAAGCACCGGCUAACUACGUGCCAGCAGCCGCGGUAAUACGUAGGGUGCGAGCGUUGUCCGGAAUUACUGGGCGUAAAGAGCUCGUAGGUGGUUUGUCGCGUCGUCUGUGAAAUUCCGGGGCUUAACUCCGGGCGUGCAGGCGAUACGGGCAUAACUUGAGUACUGUAGGGGAGACUGGAAUUCCUGGUGUAGCGGUGAAAUGCGCAGAUAUCAGGAGGAACACCGAUGGCGAAGGCAGGUCUCUGGGCAGUUACUGACGCUGAGGAGCGAAAGCAUGGGUAGCGAACAGGAUUAGAUACCCUGGUAGUCCAUGCCGUAAACGGUGGGCGCUAGGUGUGGGGGUCUUCCACGACUUCCGUGCCGUAGCUAACGCAUUAAGCGCCCCGCCUGGGGAGUACGGCCGCAAGGCUAAAACUCAAAGGAAUUGACGGGGGCCCGCACAAGCGGCGGAGCAUGUGGAUUAAUUCGAUGCAACGCGAAGAACCUUACCUGGGCUUGACAUAUGCAGGAUCGGCACAGAGAUGUGUUUUCCCUUGUGGUCUGUAUACAGGUGGUGCAUGGUUGUCGUCAGCUCGUGUCGUGAGAUGUUGGGUUAAGUCCCGCAACGAGCGCAACCCUUGUCUUGUGUUGCCAGCACGUUAUGGUGGGGACUCGCGAGAGACUGCCGGGGUUAACUCGGAGGAAGGUGGGGAUGACGUCAAAUCAUCAUGCCCCUUAUGUCCAGGGCUUCACACAUGCUACAAUGGUCGGUACAGUGGGUUGCUACACCGUGAGGUGGUGCUAAUCCCUUUAAAGCCGGUCUCAGUUCGGAUUGGAGUCUGCAACUCGACUCCAUGAAGUCGGAGUCGCUAGUAAUCGCAGAUCAGAACGUGCG